GGAUGCGAUCAUACCAGCACUAAUGCACCGGAUCCCAUCAGAACUCCGCAGUUAAGAGCGCUUGGGCGAGAGUAGUACUAGGAUGGGUGACCUCCCAGGAAGUCCUCGUGUUGCAUCCC
This 119-nucleotide ribosomal RNA is filed under the name Arabidopsis suecica. Lineage: Eukaryota; Viridiplantae; Streptophyta; Magnoliopsida; Brassicales; Brassicaceae. The record is from RNAcentral.